GAAAGCAGCUUGGGACUCACUUCUAAAGUGUGUUUCCUCUAGAAUCAUGGUAUCUGUGAGACCCUGGGAGCAUCCUAGGGGAGGGAAGAGGGGCAGGACAGGGCCCAUUUCCGUGUCUUGCCUCAGUGGGCUCUUGGAAGUCAUUUCACUCCGAGUCCCUGAAGCUUCCUCCUUCAACAGUGGGACAGCACUUGGUGCAGAACGGACUUGACCCACAAAGGCAUUUGGUCUGGAUAAUCUGAUCUCUGGGCACAUUGAAGGUUGAGCCACCAGAAAGCAAGCCAAACGAUCCUUUCCUUUGGCAGGAGACAGAGCUGGGAAGAUGAAGGGACACAGCAAUAGCAGACAGCAGUGGUGGUCACGUGCACCGAGGCCCAGUGUAUUCUGGGCUUCCCAGAGAGCUGGGCAUGAAUCCAUCCCGUGGUAUUCUGUCUUGACCACAACAUGAUAGAGGCUGCUGCCUCAGGACAGUGAACGUAGAACUGAUUUCCCAGCCAAGGUUGUUUUGAAAAUCCCAGAGUUACAGAAAAGUUGAAAGAACAUAAUGAGCUUCCCGAUACCUCUCGCCCUGACCCACUAACCUCGGCCCUUUGCCACCUUCCCCUCAACUCUUACACUCAGAGACGUUUGGAGGACAGAAUGUCAUGAUGUCUGUAACAGUGAGGUGAUUCAGCCAAAGAAAACAUUGUAUAUCUCCCAUGAACAAGCUCAUUCUUCUAUAUAGUAGUGCCAUUGUCACACCCGAGAGAUUUAGUAUCUUACAGUAUUACCUAGUAAAAUCUGUAUGCAAAAAUCUCCCAACUGUCCCAAAAAUAUCCUGCAGAGCUUUUUGUGAAACUCGACGCCACCCAAGAUGACAUCCUACACUUGCUUGUCUUGUUGUCCCAGAACCCCCCAAUUGAGGGCAUCUCCCUCAGCAGUUGUGUCUCUCUUGAUAUUGAUAGUUUUGAAGAGCCCAGGCCCACAGUCUUGUAGAAUGCCCUAUGAUCUGCUUUUGUCUGCUUGUUCCCUCAGGUUGAGGAACUGUUGGCAAGAAAAGAGUUGAUGUUGUGUAGCUAUGAUUCAUGCUUUGGAUGUCUGUCUCCCUGGGGACCUCUGUGGUCGCUGCUUUCGUUGUGAAUAAACAA
This 1127-nucleotide long non-coding RNA is filed under the name Marmota monax (woodchuck). The record is from RNAcentral. Lineage: Eukaryota; Metazoa; Chordata; Mammalia; Rodentia; Sciuridae.